Molecule: long non-coding RNA, 360 nt
Filed under: Phasianus colchicus (ring-necked pheasant)
Lineage: Eukaryota; Metazoa; Chordata; Aves; Galliformes; Phasianidae
Description: lncRNA (ENSPCLG00000003746.1)
Source: RNAcentral
UGUAUUGUUUAGGGUCACAUUCAGAAUGUGUGGACUGUAGCUCUGAACUUUAGUAUAGGAGCAUGUGUAAGGCUGUUUCUCUAGAAUCAGCGGAAGGACGUGGACACUGAAUAUUGAUCAAGGCAAGAGUGAAACUUCAGAGCCAGGAUACAGAAUUCAGAUCACCACCAAGCUCAUGCAAGUGGCAGUAAACAUCAAUGCCAAACAAGAUGUAAAUAGAGUUUCCACUGAAGUCAUGUAUGAAGCAGCAACUGCCAGAUGCCAACAACUUAUUUACAAGAUAAUUGAAGGAACUGAAAACAUUGGGAAAACAUUGGGCAAUAUAUGGGGAAUUUAUUUCUUAGAAAUAAAAGACAGUUG